Long non-coding RNA from Quercus robur (English oak), 733 nucleotides. RefSeq lists it as uncharacterized. The record is from RefSeq and is a predicted model, not a curated record. The transcript has 2 exons. NCBI's taxonomy places the organism in Eukaryota, Viridiplantae, Streptophyta, Magnoliopsida, Fagales, Fagaceae.
AAACUGGCUCUCCGAUCGCACAAAACCCUCACCAAUCGCCCACACUCCCCUCACCGAUCGCACACUCCCCUCACCGCUCCAACACAGUCCCCUCACCGCUCGCACAUCCCCUCACCGAUUGCAGACAACUCUCACCGCUCCAACGCACUCCCCUUACCGAUCUGAGACAACUCUCACCGAUCUCACACUCCCCUCACCGAUCUCAGCCCACUCUCACCGAUCUCAAGCUACCUCACUUCCACCCUAUGUGAAUCCCCUUCCUCCCUCCGCUCUUCCUCCUCUUCGUUUCCUUCUCAUCGAUCGCUGGCACACACCCAUUCUCGCAAGGCCGACUAGCAGUGAUGUUGUUCGUAAAGAUUUGAAAUUAUAGUCAGAGGCACAAAGUUCACAAAAAAUUCCGGUCACUGUGCAAGAAAAUCCAGACGCCUCUCAAAAGCCAUUCACCUUCAUUUUCUUUCAUUUUAUCUUGGUACCCGCCCAAUUCCCACGCCUUUUCUUCGUUGUGCUUACUAUCUUUCUUAAUUUGAUGCGUCCUUGCAUCUUUGUAACUCUUUUUGUUGUAAUUGUUCUUUUCUUUUAAUUAUAUAGAUUAAGAUUUGUAUCAUAGGGCUGUAUCUGAGACAUACGUAGCCGUAUGAUACAAAUUUUGAAAAGAUACUUGUAAAACAAACACAGUUGGAACAUACCCAACGUGUAGUAUUGUAUUGGAAAGGGAAGUGGUUUUAUAUUUUAA